UAGGCAUGCUAGUUGCACGAGUUCAGACUCGUAGCAUAUAGCUCAGUAACACGUGGCCAAACUACCCUACAGACCGCGAUAACCUCGGGAAACUGAGGCCAAUAGCGGAUAUAACUCUCAGACUGGAGUGUCGAGAGUUAGAAACGUUCCGGCGCUGUAGGAUGUGGCUGCGGCCGAUUAGGUAGAUGGUGGGGUAACGGCCCACCAUGCCGAUAAUCGGUACAGGUUGUGAGAGCAAGAGCCUGGAGACGGUAUCUGAGACAAGAUACCGGGCCCUACGGGGCGCAGCAGGCGCGAAACCUUUACACUGCACGACAGUGCGAUAGGGGGACUCCGAGUGUGAGGGCAUAUAGCCCUCGCUUUUCUGAACCGUAAGGUGGUUCAGGAACAAGGACUGGGCAAGACCGGUGCCAGCCGCCGCGGUAAUACCGGCAGUCCAAGUGAUGGCCGAUAUUAUUGGGCCUAAAGCGUCCGUAGCUUGCUGUGUAAGUCCAUUGGGAAAUCGACCAGCUCAACUGGUCGGCGUCCGGUGGAAACUACACAGCUUGGGGCCGAGAGACUCAACGGGUACGUCCGGGGUAGGAGUGAAAUCCUGUAAUCCUGGACGGACCACCAAUGGGGAAACCACGUUGAGAGACCGGACCCGACAGUGAGGGACGAAAGCCAGGGUCUCGAACCGGAUUAGAUACCCGGGUAGUCCUGGCUGUAAACAAUGCUCGCUAGGUAUGUCACGCGCCAU
This 739-nucleotide ribosomal RNA is filed under the name Haloarcula sp. W22. RNAcentral describes it as "bacterial SSU rRNA". It matches the Rfam family "Archaeal small subunit ribosomal RNA", at positions 46 to 786 of the family's 1478-position model. Lineage: Archaea; Methanobacteriati; Methanobacteriota; Halobacteria; Halobacteriales; Haloarculaceae. The record is from RNAcentral.